AGUGUGCGCGCGCGCGCGCGUGUGUGUGUGAGUGUUGUGUGUGUAUGUAUGAGUAUGUGUGUGUGAGUGUGUGAGUGUGUGUGUAAAUGUGUGUGUAUGAUUAUAAGUGUGUAUUGAGUGUGUGUGUGUGCGCAUGAGUGUGUGUGUAUGAGUGUGUGUGAGUGUGUGAGUGUGCGUGUGUAUGAUUGAGUGUGUGAGUGUGUGUAAGUGUGUGUGAGUGUUGUGAGUGUGUAUGAUUGAGUGUGUGUGUAUACAUGAGUACAUGUGUGAGUGUGAGUGUGUGAGUGUGUGUGUGUGCGUGUGUGUGUGUUUCAUUCAGGAACAUAAAGCAUUGAGGUGGGUUGCAAACCCACUGACAGGAUUUAUUAAUUAUUAACUGUUUCUACACAGGCUUAUCCCUGAAGCCCCAUAAAUCCCUUACACAUUCACUGAGAGUGUCCAGCAUUCAUCCCUCUGACCCAACACUCACCCUGAAAGGCUCUCACACUGCCUCCCUGGGGCCCUCAAAUAUGGAUCAGCAUGGAGGACCAUAUUACAACCCAGCCCCAGUGUGGUGUCUACAAGUUGUCCACAGAAUUGAGAGCGUCUUCAGACCCCGAAACUCCCGCAACCUACACGCUGCAGAACGGUGGGUUCUCGGGCUGAGCUGUGCAAUCUGAGCCUGCAGGGCCUGGAUUCCUGUAGCAGAAAGGAGGGACUGGUCAAACAUGGACAUUGAGUGUAUGCAGGCAGCCUAGGGAGGCUGAUUCCACAAAUGGGUUAGGCUCUAGUCAGUGCUACUUUAGGUCACCUUACAGCCUGGGCCAGACCUGAGCUGGGGCUGUGGCAUCUCUCAGGGAC
RNAcentral lists this long non-coding RNA (840 nucleotides) under Rattus norvegicus (Norway rat). RNAcentral describes it as "long non-coding RNA NONRATT032497". Lineage: Eukaryota; Metazoa; Chordata; Mammalia; Rodentia; Muridae. The record is from RNAcentral.